GGAGAUAUAUCUCAAUAGGUAGAGUAUCGCUUUAGUAAUGUUAUAGGUUACUAGGGCGAAGGUUAGAGGUUCAAAUUCUUUUAUCCCCA
RNAcentral lists this transfer RNA (89 nucleotides) under Clostridium perfringens. Its description in RNAcentral is "tRNA-Thr". It matches the Rfam family "tRNA". From Rfam's summary of the family: Transfer RNA (tRNA) molecules are approximately 80 nucleotides in length. Their secondary structure includes four short double-helical elements and three loops (D, anti-codon, and T loops). Lineage: Bacteria; Bacillati; Bacillota; Clostridia; Eubacteriales; Clostridiaceae. The record is from RNAcentral. RNAcentral also lists the same sequence under 1 other name.